GAUGAACGCUGGCGGCGUGCCUAAUACAUGCAAGUCGAGCGAACAGACGAGGAGCUUGCUCCUUUGACGUUAGCGGCGGACGGGUGAGUAACACGUGGAUAACCUACCUAUAAGACUGGGAUAACUUCGGGAAACCGGAGCUAAUACCGGAUAACAUGUUGAACCGCAUGGUUCAACAGUGAAAGACGGUCUUGCUGUCACUUAUAGAUGGAUCCGUGCCGCAUUAGCUAGUUGGUAAGGUAACGGCUUACCAAGGCAACGAUGCGUAGCCGACCUGAGAGGGUGAUCGGCCACACUGGAACUGAGACACGGUCCAGACUCCUACGGGAGGAAGCAGUAGGGAAUCUUCCGCAAUGGGCGAAAGCCUGACGGAGCAACGCCGCGUGAGUGAAGAAGGUCUUCGGAUCGUAAAACUCUGUUAUUAGGGAAGAACAAAUGUGUAAGUAACUAUGCACGUCUUGACGGUACCUAAUCAGAAAGCCACGGCUAACUACGCG
RNAcentral lists this ribosomal RNA (497 nucleotides) under uncultured bacterium. RNAcentral describes it as "partial 16S ribosomal RNA". It matches the Rfam family "Bacterial small subunit ribosomal RNA", at positions 28 to 507 of the family's 1533-position model. The record is from RNAcentral.